Molecule: ribosomal RNA, 492 nt
Filed under: uncultured bacterium
Lineage: Bacteria
Description: partial 16S ribosomal RNA
Rfam family: Bacterial small subunit ribosomal RNA
Source: RNAcentral
AGUGAACGCUGGCGGUAGGCCUAACACAUGCAAGUCGAACGGCAGCACAGUAAGAGCUUGCUCUUACGGGUGGCGAGUGGCGGACGGGUGAGGAAUACAUCGGAAUCUACUUUUUCGUGGGGGAUAACGUAGGGAAACUUACGCUAAUACCGCAUACGACCUACGGGUGAAAGCAGGGGAUCUUCGGACCUUGCGCGAUUGAAUGAGCCGAUGUCGGAUUAGCUAGUUGGCGGGGUAAAGGCCCACCAAGGCGACGAUCCGUAGCUGGUCUGAGAGGAGGAUCAGCCACACUGGAACUGGUACACGGUCCAGACUCCUACGGGAGGCAGCAGUGGGGAAUAUUGGACAAUGGGCGCAAGCCUGAUCCAGCCAUACCGCGUGGGUGAAGAAGGCCUUCGGGUUGUAAAGCCCUUUUGUUGGGAAAGAAAAGCAGCAGGUUAAUACCCCGCUGUUCUGACGGUACCCAAAGAAUAAGCACCGGCUAACUUCGUG